CCCAGAGGUAUUGAUAGGUGAAAUCAGCUCCGGUUGAUUAACACGAUUUGCACCAACCUGCGUCCAUACGCAGGUUUUUUUU
Enterobacter sp. 638 is the source of this 82-nucleotide small RNA. It matches the Rfam family "OmrA-B family". The record is from Rfam. NCBI's taxonomy places the organism in Bacteria, Pseudomonadati, Pseudomonadota, Gammaproteobacteria, Enterobacterales, Enterobacteriaceae.